Molecule: ribosomal RNA, 516 nt
Filed under: uncultured eukaryote
Lineage: Eukaryota
Description: SSU rRNA
Rfam family: Eukaryotic small subunit ribosomal RNA
Source: RNAcentral
UAGUCAUAUGCUUGUCUAAAGGACUAAGCCAUGCAUGUCUAAGUAUAAGCAAUUUAUACUUGCGAAACUGCGAAUGGCUCAUUAAAUCAGUUAUAGUUUACUUGAUAGUUUCUUGCUACAUGGAUACCGGUGGCAAAGUACCGCUAAUACAUGCAACAACCCCGCAAGGGGUGUAUUUAUUAGAUACAAACCAACCUGGGCAACCAGUGUAUGUUGAAUCAUAAUAACUUCACGAAUCGCAUGGCCUUGAGCUGGCGAUGAAUCAUUCAAAUUUCUGCCCUAUCAACUUUUGAUGGUACGUUAGAGGCCUACCAUGGUUAUGACGGGUAACGGAGAAUUAGGGUUCGAUUCCGGAGAGGGAGCCUGAGAAAUGGCUACCACAUCCAAGGAAGGCAGCAGGCGCGCAAAUUGCCCAAUCUCGAUACGAGGAGGCAGCGACAAGAAAUAACAGUGCUGGGCUUUUUCAAGUCUAGCAAUUGGAAUGAGUACAAUUUAAACACCUUAACAAAUUCCAUU